ACUCCUACGGGCAGGCAGUAGGGAAGAUUUUCCGCAAUGGACGAAAGUCUGACGGAGCAAUGCCGCGUGAGUGAUGAAGGUUUUCGAAUCGUAAAGCUCUGUUGUAAGGGAAGAAUAGCAAGAAUAGGAAAUGAUUCUUGUCUGACGGUACCUUACCAGAAAGCCACGGCUAACUACGUGCCAGCAGCCGCGGUAAUACGUAGGUGGCAAGCGUUAUCCGGAAUUAUUGGGCGUAAAGCGCAUGUAGGCGGCUCUUUAAGUCUGAUGUGAAAGCCUGUGGCUCAACCACAGAAUUGCAUUGGAUACUGGAGAGCUAGAAUCUUGGAGAGGUAAGUGGAAUUUCAUGUGUAGCGGUGGAAUGCGUAGAUAUAUGAAGGAACACCAAUGGCGAAGGCAGCUUACUGGACAAGUAUUGACGCUGAGAUGCGAAAGUGUGGUAGCAAACAGGAUUAGAUACCCUGGUAGGCUCUG
This 471-nucleotide ribosomal RNA is filed under the name uncultured bacterium. RNAcentral's name for it is "bacterial SSU rRNA". It matches the Rfam family "Bacterial small subunit ribosomal RNA", at positions 335 to 799 of the family's 1533-position model. The record is from RNAcentral.